This 78-nucleotide transfer RNA is filed under the name Bacteroidales bacterium. Its description in RNAcentral is "tRNA-Ser". It matches the Rfam family "tRNA". Rfam says of the family: Transfer RNA (tRNA) molecules are approximately 80 nucleotides in length. Their secondary structure includes four short double-helical elements and three loops (D, anti-codon, and T loops). Lineage: Bacteria; Pseudomonadati; Bacteroidota; Bacteroidia; Bacteroidales. The record is from RNAcentral.
GGGACGUUAGCUCAGUUGGUUAGUCUCGUCAAAGCCUUGACGAGCAAGAGGUCACUGGUUCGAUUCCAGUACGUCCCA